Molecule: small nuclear RNA, 108 nt
Filed under: Zalophus californianus (California sea lion)
Lineage: Eukaryota; Metazoa; Chordata; Mammalia; Carnivora; Otariidae
Also listed under: 1 other name
Source: RNAcentral
GUGCUCACUUCGGCAGCACAUAUACUAAAAUUGGAAUGAUACAGAGCAGAUUAGCAUGGCCCCUGCACAAAGAUGAAUGCGAAUUUGCAAAAUACAUAAAGAACUCAU